GCACUGUUGAGGAGUCCCACAAUAGGACGAAACGGCCGUUCAAUGC
Molecule: non-coding RNA, 46 nt
Organism: Schistosoma mattheei
Lineage: Eukaryota; Metazoa; Platyhelminthes; Trematoda; Strigeidida; Schistosomatidae
Source: Rfam